This 81-nucleotide transfer RNA is filed under the name Lobosphaera incisa. RNAcentral's name for it is "tRNA-Leu". It matches the Rfam family "tRNA". From Rfam's summary of the family: Transfer RNA (tRNA) molecules are approximately 80 nucleotides in length. Their secondary structure includes four short double-helical elements and three loops (D, anti-codon, and T loops). The record is from RNAcentral. Lineage: Eukaryota; Viridiplantae; Chlorophyta; Trebouxiophyceae; Trebouxiales; Trebouxiaceae.
GCGGGUAUGGUGAAAUUGGUAAACACGCCAGAUUUAGGCUCUGGAGGUUUUUCCUUGCAGGUUCAAGUCCUGCUACCCGUA